This 251-nucleotide ribosomal RNA is filed under the name uncultured bacterium. RNAcentral describes it as "partial 16S ribosomal RNA". It matches the Rfam family "Bacterial small subunit ribosomal RNA", at positions 524 to 776 of the family's 1533-position model. The record is from RNAcentral.
GACGGGGGGGGCAAGUGUUCUUCGGCAUGACUGGGCGUAAAGGGCACGUAUGCGGUGAAUCGGGUUGAAAGUGAAAGUCGCCAAAAAGUGGCGGAAUGCUCUCGAAACCAAUUCACUUGAGUGAGACAGAGGAGAGUGGAAUUUCGUGUGUAGGGGUGAAAUCCGUAAAUAUACGAAGGAACGCCAAAAGCGAAGGCAGCUCUCUGGGUCCCUACCGACGCUGGGGUGCGAAAGCAUGGGGAGCGAACAGG